RNAcentral lists this ribosomal RNA (618 nucleotides) under Tetragnatha squamata. RNAcentral's name for it is "bacterial SSU rRNA". It matches the Rfam family "Eukaryotic small subunit ribosomal RNA", at positions 54 to 660 of the family's 1831-position model. Lineage: Eukaryota; Metazoa; Arthropoda; Arachnida; Araneae; Tetragnathidae. The record is from RNAcentral.
CAUGUCUAAGUUCAUGCCGUAUUAAGGCGAAACCGCGAAUGGCUCAUUAAAUCAGUUAUGGUUCCUUGGAUCGUACUUUACUACUUGGAUAACUGUGGCAAUUCUAGAGCUAAUACAUGCAGCAGAGCUCCGACCUUUUGCGAGGGACGAGCGCUUUUAUUAGACCAAAACCGAUCUGGUCCUCGUGGCCAGUAUCCGUGGUGACUCUGUAUAACUUUGGGCUGAUCGCACGGGCUCGUCCCGGCGACGUAUCUUUCAAGUGUCUGCCUUAUCAACUGUCGACGGUAGGUUACGCGCCUACCGUGGUCGUAACGGGUAACGGGGGAUCAGGGUUCGAUUCCGGAGAGGGAGCCUGAGAAACGGCUACCACAUCCAAGGAAGGCAGCAGGCGCGCAAAUUACCCACUCCCGGCACGGGGAGGUAGUGACGAAAAAUAACAAUACGGGACUCUUUUGAGACCCCGUAAUUGGAAUGAGUACACUCCAAACCCUUUAACGAUGAACUAUUGGAGGUAAAGUCUGGUGCCAGCAUCCGCGGUAACUCCAGCUCCAAUAGCGUAUAUUAAAGUUGUUGCGGUUAAAAAGCUCGUAGUUGGAUCUUGGGUCGUUGCCUCUCGGU